GACGAACGCUGGCGGCGUGCUUAACACAUGCAAGUCGAACGGAAAGGCCCUGCUUUUGUGGGGUGCUCGAGUGGCGAACGGGUGAGUAACACGUGAGUAACCUGCCCUUGACUUUGGGAUAACUUCAGGAAACUGGGGCUAAUACCGGAUAGGAGCUCCUGCUGCAUGGUGGGGGUUGGAAAGUUUCGGCGGUUGGGGAUGGACUCGCGGCUUAUCAGCUUGUUGGUGGGGUAGUGGCUUACCAAGGCUUUGACGGGUAGCCGGCCUGAGAGGGUGACCGGCCACAUUGGGACUGUGCUACGGCCCAGACUCCUACGGGAGGCAGCAGUGGGGAAUAUUGCACGAUGGGCGGAAGCCUGAUGCAGCGACGCCGCGUGCGGGAUGACGGCCUUCGGGUUGUAAACCGCUUUCGCCUGUGACGAAGCGUGAGUGACGGUAAUGGGUAAAGAAGCACCGGCUAACUACGUG
This 468-nucleotide ribosomal RNA is filed under the name uncultured bacterium. RNAcentral's name for it is "partial 16S ribosomal RNA". It matches the Rfam family "Bacterial small subunit ribosomal RNA", at positions 28 to 507 of the family's 1533-position model. The record is from RNAcentral.